RNAcentral lists this ribosomal RNA (301 nucleotides) under uncultured bacterium. Its description in RNAcentral is "partial 16S ribosomal RNA". It matches the Rfam family "Bacterial small subunit ribosomal RNA", at positions 509 to 807 of the family's 1533-position model. The record is from RNAcentral.
CAGCAGCCGCGGUAAUACGUAGGGUGCAAGCGUUAAUCGGAAUUACUGGGCGUAAAGCGUGCGCAGGCGGUCUGUCAAGUCAGAUGUGAAAUCCCCGGGCUUAACCUGGGAACUGCAUUUGAAACUGGCAGGCUAGAGUCUUGUAGAGGGGGGUAGAAUUCCAGGUGUAGCGGUGAAAUGCGUAGAGAUCUGGAGGAAUACCGGUGGCGAAGGCGGCCCCCUGGACAAAGACUGACGCUCAGGUGCGAAAGCGUGGGGAGCAAACAGGAUUAGAUACCCCUGUAGUCCCUGUCUCUUAUAC